GGCAUGGUUGCAGGCAUUGGAUACUUUCAACAAAGCAAAUGUUUCUCCUAAAAAUUACGCUAUGUUCACAUCUUUUACAAUAUUUGCUAGUGCAAUAAUGUUUAAGGAUUAUUCUGGUCAAAGUGCAAGUAGCAUAGCAUCAGAGCUUUGUGGGUUUAUCAUUGUGUUAUCGGGAACUACUGCAUUGCAUAACACAAGAGAGCCAGAUCCACAUUUUGUUGUAGUUACAUGUCUCCUGCAUAUCAGUGGGCAAAACUUUGAUGUCUGUUGUAAAUAUAUAAUUUAGCAAACUAAGCACAUUAUAUUUAAGUAA
Pistacia vera is the source of this 313-nucleotide long non-coding RNA. RefSeq lists it as uncharacterized. The record is from RefSeq and is a predicted model, not a curated record. The transcript is spliced from 2 exons. NCBI's taxonomy places the organism in Eukaryota, Viridiplantae, Streptophyta, Magnoliopsida, Sapindales, Anacardiaceae.